GGAGCCCAGGACAUGGGCUGAGACUCGCCUGUCCGGCCUCGCCCGCCAGGGGCUGCAGAGAGAAAAGUUAUUUUCGGAGAUCCGGCCCUGCGAGGGCUGACUCCCUCCCUGCUCGUCCGGACGCCCUGCUCUGUAGGCUGGCCACUUGGGCAAAACUCCUUCGCCCCCCGAGCCUUGGCGUCCCCAGCUGAGAAGUGGGAACCUUUAAUGCCUACCUUGUGGGAGACAACGUAAAUGGAGUUCACGAGGCCGCCUGGGUUGAGUCGUCUGGAAUGUGGGUCCUCGUGUCCGACGAGGUUCCAGGGGAGUGUCAGGGUCAGGGCUGUGACACUGAGACAGCUGAGCCUGUGUUGCCUCGCGUCGCCCGUAGGCGAUACGAUAGGAAACACUUGUCCUUCGGGGCCGGGCUCUGUGCCGAGUGCUUCCCUUGUGUGUCAGGCUCGCACAGCGGACCUGCAGAGGGAGUCGUGGAGACCCAGGGGUCAAGCGACUUGCCCAGAACCACACGGCUGCUUAGUGGGGCCGGCGGAACCCGCCCGUGAAGCCCACGGCGUGGGGCCUGGAGAAAAGGCACCGCCACAGAGGGGGGGAGGGAAUGAAUGAGAGCGUGUGUCCAGCCCCCCAGGAGAGACGAGUGCCGCUGAGCCUGCCGCGCCGGGCUCGGCCCAGCCGCUGUGGGAACCGCGCCCCGCCUGGUGGGGCGGCUAAGGCUAAGGCUAAGAGCGUAGACUUGCAGGACCCGGGCCCUCACCCCUGUGAACCUCAGGAGCCCCGUGACCCACUACUCGCCUCGGCCUCGCGUAGGGCGUCUGUAAACUGGGGAGGACGAGCGGAGAAAGUAAUUAGUAGGCGUCAUUACUAGGAAAAGCGAGACCCGACCCGCGCGCAGCACACGCCCGUGAGAACCGAACACGGAGGGAGAUCCCGCGGGCCGGUCGCCUCUCCGGAGCUCAGCCUCGGCACCUAGAAAAAAGGAGGAUGUGGGCCGCUGGCCUACAGUCCCGCGCUCAGUCUUCCCUCAGCGCCCCCCACCCCCCGCGGGGCCCCUCUUCUCCGCCACCUGGCGUGUUUUGCUCCAGGGCACGUGGCACCUGACGUUUUUAGAGGUUUACUCGUUUGUUGCCUUUUAGCCUAAUAGCGCGCGGGCUCCGCAGCGGGGGCCCUGGUCUGUGCACGCGUAUAUCCCCGGUGCUGAGGACGGUGCCUGGCAUAUGCGCGAUAUUUGGGACCUUUUUGGUUGAAGGACUGGAUGGAUGAAUACGCAGAGAUGCGGUGCGCACGGGUGGGGGUCCUGGCACGUGAGUUCGGGCGCAGGCCUGACUUUCCUUUUUUUUCUGGGCGGCUACCCAGUUGUCCCAGCGUCUAUAGGGGAUGGCCGGUCUCCUCCCCCGUUUCAGAUGCCACCUCUGUCAUACAAAGACGCCAUACCUCAAUGUGCAUGUGCGGAUAGGUAUAUCUUUAGACCGAGUUCUGGGCUUUUCUU
Long non-coding RNA from Phyllostomus discolor (pale spear-nosed bat), 1483 nucleotides. RefSeq lists it as uncharacterized. Lineage: Eukaryota; Metazoa; Chordata; Mammalia; Chiroptera; Phyllostomidae. The record is from RefSeq and is a predicted model, not a curated record. The transcript has 3 exons.